GCUCCAAUAGCGUAUAUUCAAGUUGUUGCAGUUAAAAAGCUCGUAGUUGAAACUGCUUAGUGCCAGCCUGGUGCACCUAACCGUGUUACUAGAGCUGGUGCUUUGUUAAGAGUGACAGGGCCAUGAUCUUUACUGAUUGUGGCUGCUGGCUAGCUCAGUGUUUACUGUGAAAAAAUUAGAGUGUUUAAAGCAGGCCAGAG
Molecule: ribosomal RNA, 200 nt
Filed under: uncultured eukaryote
Lineage: Eukaryota
Description: partial 18S ribosomal RNA
Rfam family: Eukaryotic small subunit ribosomal RNA
Source: RNAcentral